Molecule: ribosomal RNA, 502 nt
Filed under: uncultured Glomus
Lineage: Eukaryota; Fungi; Glomeromycota; Glomeromycetes; Glomerales; Glomeraceae
Description: SSU rRNA
Rfam family: Eukaryotic small subunit ribosomal RNA
Source: RNAcentral
AGCAGCCGCGGUAAUUCCAGCUCCAAUAGCGUAUAUUAAAGUUGUUGCAGUUAAAAAGCUCGUAGUUGAAUUUCGGGAUCAAUGGGUCGGUCGUGCCAAUGGUAUGUACUGGCCUCAUUGGUUCUCACCUUCUAAGGAACCAUGAUGUCAUUUAUUUGAUGUUGUGGGAAAUUAGGACUGUUACCUUGAAAAAUUAGAGUGUUUAAAGCAGGCUAACGCUUGAAUACAUUAGCAUGGAAUAAUGAAAUAGGACAUCCAAUUCUAUUUUGUUGGUUUCUAGGAUCGAUGUAAUGAUUAAUAGGGAUAGUUGGGGGCAUUAGUAUUCAAUUGUCAGAGGUGAAAUUCUUGGAUUUAUUGAAGACUAACUACUGCGAAAGCAUUUGCCAAGGAUGUUUUCAUUAAUCAAGAACGAAAGUUAGGGGAUCGAAGACGAUCAGAUACCGUCGUAGUCUUAACCAUAAACUAUGCCGACUAGGGAUCGGAUGAUGUUAAUUUUUAAUGA